Molecule: long non-coding RNA, 149 nt
Filed under: Anas platyrhynchos platyrhynchos (common mallard)
Lineage: Eukaryota; Metazoa; Chordata; Aves; Anseriformes; Anatidae
Description: lncRNA (ENSAPLG00000025183.1)
Source: RNAcentral
GAAGGAUCUAAAGAGAUCAACGUAACAGCGUUCUCUUGAAGUCGAUUACCUGUUGGAAAAUCUGUUCAUGCCACCAAGCCGAUCCAAGUUCAACAGCUAGAAAUAAUGAAGCAAUGAUAUAUAGCACAAAACGGUAAGUUUUUCAUAAU